GAUGAACGCUAGCGGGAGGCCUAACACAUGCAAGCCGAGCGGUAUUGUUUCUUCGGCAAUGAGAGAGCGGCGUACGGGUGCGUAACACGUGUGCAACCUGCCUUUAUCUGGGGGAUAGCCUUCCGAAAGGAAGAUUAAUACUCCAUAAUAUAUUGAACGGCAUCGUUUAAUAUUGAAAGCUCCGGCGGAUAGAGAUGGGCACGCGCAAGAUUAGCUAGUUGGUGAGGUAACGGCUCACCAAGGCGAUGAUCUUUAGGGGGCCUGAGAGGGUGAUCCCCCACACUGGUACUGAGACACGGACCAGACUCCUACGGGAGGCAGCAGUGAGGAAUAUUGGUCAAUGGGUGCAAGCCUGAACCAGCCAUCCCGCGUGAAGGACGACUGCCCUAUGGGUUGUAAACUUCUUUUGUAUAGGGAUAAACCUACCCUCGAGAGGGUAGCUGAAGGUACUAUACGAAUAAGCACCGGCUAACUCCGUG
Molecule: ribosomal RNA, 479 nt
Filed under: uncultured bacterium
Lineage: Bacteria
Description: partial 16S ribosomal RNA
Rfam family: Bacterial small subunit ribosomal RNA
Source: RNAcentral